This is a long non-coding RNA of Humulus lupulus (European hop), 1077 nucleotides long. RefSeq lists it as uncharacterized. The record is from RefSeq and is a predicted model, not a curated record. The transcript has 2 exons. Lineage: Eukaryota; Viridiplantae; Streptophyta; Magnoliopsida; Rosales; Cannabaceae.
UCCAAUCCAGUAAUCCAUCUUCAUGUAUAUUAAGAUUAAGAAAAAAAAUUACAACUUUGUAUCUAAUUUGUUUUCUCCUAAUUUAUUAUUGAGAAAUGAUCAACUCAUUCAUUCUUUUAUAUUUUUGCUCAAAUACUUAAUCUAUUCUAAUUCUACUUUCUAAACAUGACAUAAGGGAUUAUUGAUAUAAUUUAUUUUUGCUGUAUCAUUUUUAACUUUGAGAUGUAGUUUAGCUUUCUCAUUGCCACUCCUGGCCUAUUUUGAUGUUACCCUUGUGCAUUAGUAUUAUCUUUGAGCUAAUGAACAACUCAGUCAUGUGUGCUAUUGGUGAGGAACUAUGUGCAAGGAUUUUCCAAAUGCUUCUGUUCAGUAUCUUAUUGGUUUUGUUUGGAAUGUUUUUUAAAAUGGGAGUGAUAUAUACAUUGUAUUGUUUCACUGGUCAAUAAAUUGUUAUGUAAACAUUUGCUGAAGUAAAAAAAAGUUAUUGAUAAUUGCCCAAAAUGAGAGGCAAGAAUGUACUUGUGUGGUAAUACCAAACCAAAUUAGACAAGUGGUUGGUUCUUGAGCUAAGCCUUGGAAAUCUUAGUGCAAAUUGCUUUGAAAAUUUUAAGCACUUUUUUAAUAUACUAUUGUCAAGUUUCCAAUAGUUAUUCCUUGAGUCUUUAUUUUCUAUCAAGGCGGUAGCUCAAACAGUCCGGGCUUUAUUUGCUCUUACAAAUCUGAGGUUCGAGUCUCUCUUGAGUACCUACGUAGCAAUUGCUAUAGUUUUCUCGUCCCCAAUAUUGUAUGUUAGGCGUAGAGCUUAGCUUUUUUUUUUCAUCAGACAAAGUUUUGUUUACUGUUUCCUAAAUCUCCAGCUUUAUGCAAAAGAUGCAUCAAAGAAUUGGAAGCUUGUUGGAUCAGAUGGAGGCUACCUUUUGACAACAAAAGAGCCAUCAGCAAAUGUGGUCCUAUUGGAUUAUAUUUCAACUGAAAAAUGGCAAGACGUGGUAGAUUUUGAUGACCACCUUGAUGACAUUAGCAAAGAUUGGCUAAACCCAGAACUCUUCAAGUAAUUUGGCCAUGUUAGCAUUUUUU